CCUACGGGAGGCAGCAGUGAGGAAUAUUGGUCAAUGGGCGCAAGCCUGAACCAGCCAAGUCGCGUGAGGGAUGACGGUCCUAUGGAUUGUAAACCUCUUUUGUCGGGGAGCAAGGCCCGCCACGUGUGGCGGGAAGGAGAGUACCCGAAGAAAAAGCAUCGGCUAACUCCGUGCCAGCAGCCGCGGUAAUACGGAGGAUGCGAGCGUUAUCCGGAUUUAUUGGGUUUAAAGGGUGCGUAGGCGGAAGGUUAAGUCAGCGGUAAAAUGUCGGUGCUCAACACCGGCCUGCCGUUGAAACUGGUCUUCUUGAGUGAGCGAGAAGUAUGCGGAAGGCGUGGUGUAGCGGUGAAAUGCAUAGAUAUCACGCAGAACUCCGAUUGCGAAGGCAGCAUACCGGCGCUCAACUGAUGCUGAGGCACGAAAGCGUGGGGAUCGAACAGGAUUAGAUACCCGGGUAGUC
RNAcentral lists this ribosomal RNA (460 nucleotides) under uncultured bacterium. RNAcentral's name for it is "partial 16S ribosomal RNA". It matches the Rfam family "Bacterial small subunit ribosomal RNA", at positions 338 to 795 of the family's 1533-position model. The record is from RNAcentral.